AGGCAUAUAGAGUUCCUGGGCCAGGGAUCAGAUUCAACCUCAGUUGCAACCUAAGCUGCAGCUUCAGCGACACUGGGUCAGGAUAGAACCCCAGCACUCCUAAGAUGCCACCAAUUCCCUUGGACCACAGUAGGAACUCCAAAAAACCAUUUCCCCAAGAGUUUUGAGGACCGUGGCAGGCAGGAAAAUGGCCCUCAAGCAUGUUUACAUCUUAAUCCCUGAAACCUGUGAAUCUGCUGCCUUAUAGGACAGGUGUGAUGAAGUUAAGAAUCUUGAGAUGGGAGUUCCCGUCGUGGCGCAGUGGUUAACGAAUCCGACUAGGAACCAUGAGGUUGCGGGUUCGGUCCCUGCCCUUGCUCAGUGGGUUAACGAUCUGGCGUUGCUGUGAGCUGUGGUGUAGGUUGCAGACGCGGCUCGGAUCCCACGUUGCUGUGGCUCUGGCGUAGGCCAGUGGCUACAGCUCCGAUUCGACCCCUAGCCUGGGAACCUCCAUAUGCCUGGGUGUGGCCAUAGAAAGAAAAAGAAAAAAAGAGUGAAAUGUAAAAUCCAUCCCAGACUAUAUUCCUAAAAUGUCAAACUUAGAAGAUGACAUAAGCAAGGGAACCCUUCACUUAAAGGCACAUAAGUUGCUCAGAUUCUUCCAUCUGGGGAGGAGGAAGGGACCUGGGCACACCCACGUGCCCCCCACCAGAUUUCCAGGGGGAGACUGGCUGUGAGCAGGGCUCUGGGAGCAGGAGGGACAGAAGUCAAAUGACUGUCACAUUCUCUUCCUGGGUCAUUUCUAUAAACAAAGCAGGCACACAUCAGUUAUCAGUUGUUAUCAUUGUUCCUGUGGGAUCAAGGGUCAGAGUCCAGGCCCAGCUUUGCUCUGGGAUUUGCCCGGAAGACUUGGAGCAAGUCCUCCUACCUUGCUGCACCUCCAGGACCUCGGCUAGGAAGAGAAGGGAUUUGGAGGGGUUGAGGGGGGGAAAUCUCCCUGAGGUCCCUUCCACCCCCGAGUGUCUAAGACCCCUUCUGGCUUUGGUUGAGAGAAAGUGCUGGCUAGUACAGGGUGAGCUUGCUAUCCUAAACCACUAAGCCCAGUCCAGCUACCCUGGGCUCUGCACUUACUCACCCUGCUACUCAAUAGCUGUGUGUGACCUUGGCCAGCUUUCAUAACCUCCCAAUGCCUGUCUCCCCAUGUAUAAACUGGGACUAACAAUAGUAUCCACAUCAGUAUUGCAAUGAGGAGUAAAUGAGAUACAAAAGAAGCCUUUGCAAUCAGGCCACUACAGAAGACACAUUUUUCACCAUCACUUGGAGUUUCUCGCCCACCUGUUCGCGACAUUUCUCCACCGAGACAUGCAAUCUUUGCUGAUCACCAACACAACAGACUCCCAUGGAUGGACGGAGCCAUGAAAGAGAUCCAAAACUAUUGUAUCGGAAGACUGUUCAGUGUGGGAUAUUAUAAAACACAUCUUACCAGCACACCAGAACUUCGAAGCAGACUGCGCUCAGAAUGACAGCACUAAGGAGCAGAGCUUUGGUCAGAGUUGGUGGGAGGAGCUUGGGCAGGAUGCGUGGGCAGUAUCUGGUACCCAUUGCCUCAAGGGCCGGCCCCUCAAAGCAAGGAGGGAUGCAAAUCAGUGAGGCUGUUAUUCUUCUAAGGAUAACCUUGAAGGGCUGACUUUUCAAAAAAAGUAAAUCAGUUGCAAACACCGGUACUCUUACAGGUAACAAAACACUUGGAUAUAGCAAGGUCUUGAGUUCAGGGGCAAAAGGGUGGAGAAAUACUCCUUAGCCAUCCUAGGUAACCACCCCAGCUGGGGCCAAGGUCCAGCAGGCACACAGACACACAAGCAUGGCAGUGGGGGGGUGCCAGUUUUCAGGGAGAACCCUCCCCCACCAAACCCUAUCACAAUAGCUUAUUCCCCUUGCCUGUCCAGAUUUUUGAGGGUGGAUAAAGGGCCCUGACAGGAAGAUGCCUGUUCCCUUUGCAGAAGGUUAGGUAUUCAGACAAGAGAGCUAUUGUGAGAUUUUGAAGAAACACAGCAAUUCCUCCAACCCUUCUCAUGCAUAAAUACUGCCUUCUGGAUAUGACAAAGUUGGGGACGGAGACACUUCAUUGUGGCAAUGAAAAAAAACAAACAAAUAAAUGCAACAGUCCAAGUGGGCAAACAGAGAUCAAGUCCCAACUCUUCUAGCUGAAAACAUGGUUAAUGUACUAAGGCUCCUGGGACCCAUCUUGGCAGCUUUCCAAGAGAUAUUAGUUUGCAUUAACACACUGAAAGAGAAGGUCAGAUGAAUUAAAAGUAAGAAGGUAAUUUUGAAGGAGGACAUCUUCAUAACAGUACCAGCACCUACCACGCGUGGCUCAAGGUGGCUGCCUGAUAAACUCUCGGUGAGAACUCGCAGCUGGCACUGAGGUCACGACUAUGCUCGGACUUUUCAUGUAGAGCCAGGAUGCAAGAUAGUAUGGGGACAUAGCUUUGAUUAGAGACUUUAAGAAGACGACGCUGGGGAGAUCUUUACUCAAUUCUGAACAGAAACUGAAAAGUAUUACCAUCUUCUGGCUAUUAAGAGUGACCCUAUACUUCAAAGCAAUUAUGAUCUUUAAAGGCAGCCUAGUAAAAGGUGUAUUGGCAUGUACCAAAUUUCUUUCUUUCUCUCUUUCUUUCUUUCUUGCUACACCCAUGGCCUUCAGAAGUUCCUGGGCCAGGGAUCAAACCCAAGCCACAGCUGUGACAAUGCUGGAUCCUUAAACCUCUGAGCCGCCAGAGAACUCCCCAAAUUUAUCUCUGACUCAAACUUCUCAACAGUCACCCACCCCCCAAAUAUAAAGUUAUACCUGCCCCCCCACUCUGCUCUCUCUUUUUUUAAAGAACCUAGAUUGUGAAACGCACACACUUCCUUUAGCCAAAACCAUCUGUUAACAGUUCACCUGACACCAAGACCCUUUCCCAAACUGACAUUUCUCUAUAACAAGUCCCCAGGGAAAAUGCUCCUGACAGCACAGGCUUUCCCAAAACCUACUGUGAUAACAUCAAGGGAGAAUAACACCCCCAACCAACCGCCACCCUACCUACAGCCAGGAGACCAAGAUAGUUAAGGAGGAGGGAAUAAAAUGAGCUCCCAUUGCUCUUUAAGACUUUUAGGAAGGAGCAGAGCAACUACCUGCCUGGAGGACCAAGAGUGCAAAAGGACAGGAACUUUCCAACCCAAGUCGCACUGAUGACUGCUCCUGGCAGUUUUCCAGACAUCUCUGCCGGGGACAUGGGUCACUGCCUAUGCCCUGCCAAAAUCAUCCUGAGGGUGACUCUGCAGUGACUUAGAUUCCCCAGCCACGUGAAGCAUUAGGAAAAGUCAUGUCAAAUGUCAGAGUGACAUCUGGAACCUAUGAUGAGGAACCCCACGUCUUAGCGAAAGGACCAAAAGGGGUACCCUCAGCUGAGAUCACAAAGGGAAUCUGGCAUGGCAAUGCUUUGGGUGGCCAGCUGGGCAGAAGGCUGGUUGGUUAUUUUUAAUCGAGAAAACUGAAUGGGAAGGGAGCAAAUUUGAAUUCCUAUGAUCUCGUGAGGUCCCUUCCAGCUCCAAGAUGCUACCAAAGGAACACUGCAGAUGCACAUACAUAUGCACGGGCUUCUUUAUAAAAACGUAUAGACAAAUGUGUGAAUAUAUAUGAGUACUGUAUUCACACUUUUAAACACAAAGAACUGGAAAUGCACACUGCUGAGGAGAUUCAAAGGCCCAUGAGCUGCUUGGCAGCCACAGCUGGAAUACACAGAUGUCACUGGCAGAUCUGAACAGAGCCCC
This 3792-nucleotide long non-coding RNA is filed under the name Sus scrofa (pig). RNAcentral's name for it is "lncRNA (ENSSSCG00025031447.1)". The record is from RNAcentral. Lineage: Eukaryota; Metazoa; Chordata; Mammalia; Artiodactyla; Suidae.